Molecule: ribosomal RNA, 29 nt
Filed under: Hypericum quitense
Lineage: Eukaryota; Viridiplantae; Streptophyta; Magnoliopsida; Malpighiales; Hypericaceae
Description: partial 26S ribosomal RNA
Source: RNAcentral
GUGACCCCAGGUCAGGCGGGACUACCCGC